Molecule: long non-coding RNA, 426 nt
Organism: Neogale vison (American mink)
Lineage: Eukaryota; Metazoa; Chordata; Mammalia; Carnivora; Mustelidae
Exons: 2
Source: RefSeq, a predicted model, not a curated record
GCCCCUCCCCCAAAACACCGGCCUGAAACUCCUCCGCUUCCUGCAGGCAGAGAUGGGGCAGGAACGCACCCCGAAACAGCGUCUGUGUUGGGCCCGUGUGCAGAUGCGCGCAGGAGAGGAAGUUUCGUGCGUCUCUCCUGGGAUCACUGACCCUAGAAAUCCGGAAAUCCAGCAGCAGAAUACUCCAGGAGUGCUGGGAAGCCGGCCCAAGGUCACGUGUGUACCUGCGGGCUGUGAGCCGAAGAGAGCCCUCGGCAUUCCAGCGCACAACCUCACUGUAACUAACGUUCCUGCCGGGGAGGCUGGCAGGGGCACACCUUCCCAGAGGUUGGGAAAUGAGCUGGAUCUGCACUUGUCAAACUAGGUCCUCGGGCCACACCUGGCCCACUGCCUAUUCUUGUCAAUAAAGCUUUAUUGGAACGCGGA